RNAcentral lists this RNase P RNA (362 nucleotides) under Burkholderiaceae bacterium. RNAcentral describes it as "RNase P RNA component class A". It matches the Rfam family "Bacterial RNase P class A". Rfam says of the family: Ribonuclease P (RNase P) is a ubiquitous endoribonuclease, found in archaea, bacteria and eukarya as well as chloroplasts and mitochondria. The record is from RNAcentral. Lineage: Bacteria; Pseudomonadati; Pseudomonadota; Betaproteobacteria; Burkholderiales; Burkholderiaceae.
GAAGCAAGCCAGACCGUCGCUGGUGCGAGCGCCGAAAGGCGGCACUGGAGGAAGGUCCGGACUGCGCAGGGCGGCGUAGCAGCUAACGGCUGUCCACCGUGAGGUGAGGAUCAGAGCAACAGAGACGAGCCGAUUGAGUUCGGGUGAAACGGGCAAUCUCUACGCGCAGCAAUACCAAGUAGGCACACGCCGUGCAGCAUGGCCAUGCUAUGUUGCACUGAACGCUGGUCCCGGCGGAGUGUGCGGGUAGGUAGCACCGAGCCGUGCAGCGAUGCACGGCCCAGAUGAAUGGCGGUCACGUCGGCGUUGUUCGCAAGAAGAGCGCCGGCGCACAGAAUCCGGCCUAUCGGCUUGCUUCACAU